Molecule: ribosomal RNA, 151 nt
Filed under: Adineta vaga
Lineage: Eukaryota; Metazoa; Rotifera; Eurotatoria; Adinetida; Adinetidae
Description: eukaryotic large subunit ribosomal RNA
Rfam family: Eukaryotic large subunit ribosomal RNA
Source: RNAcentral
GUAAAGAGACUUGAAAAGUGUAGCGUAGAUGGGAGUGGCAACACGUCAAUGAAACACCAUUAUUUUCAUUGUUUCUUUACUUACUUGGUUAUACAGAGAUUGGAUUUUACAUCCAGUGUUUGAGUGACAAACGUCGAUACUUGUAUCAACG